Molecule: ribosomal RNA, 2901 nt
Filed under: Klebsiella pneumoniae
Lineage: Bacteria; Pseudomonadati; Pseudomonadota; Gammaproteobacteria; Enterobacterales; Enterobacteriaceae
Description: 23S ribosomal RNA
Rfam family: Bacterial large subunit ribosomal RNA
Source: RNAcentral
GGUUAAGCGACUAAGCGUACACGGUGGAUGCCCUGGCAGUCAGAGGCGAUGAAGGACGUGCUAAUCUGCGAAAAGCGUCGGUAAGGUGAUAUGAACCGUUACAGCCGGCGAUGUCCGAAUGGGGAAACCCAGUGUGAUUCGUCACACUAUCGUUAACUGAAUACAUAGGUUAACGAGGCGAACCGGGGGAACUGAAACAUCUAAGUACCCCGAGGAAAAGAAAUCAACCGAGAUUCCCCCAGUAGCGGCGAGCGAACGGGGAGCAGCCCAGAGUCUGAAUCAGCUUGUGUGUUAGUGGAACGGUCUGGAAAGUCCGACGGUACAGGGUGAUAGUCCCGUACACCAAAAUGCACAGGCUGUGAACUCGAAGAGUAGGGCGGGACACGUGGUAUCCUGUCUGAAUAUGGGGGGACCAUCCUCCAAGGCUAAAUACUCCUGACUGACCGAUAGUGAACCAGUACCGUGAGGGAAAGGCGAAAAGAACCCCGGCGAGGGGAGUGAAAAAGAACCUGAAACCGUGUACGUACAAGCAGUGGGAGCACCUUCGGGUGUGACUGCGUACCUUUUGUAUAAUGGGUCAGCGACUUAUAUUCUGUAGCAAGGUUAACCGUAUAGGGGAGCCGCAGGGAAACCGAGUCUUAACUGGGCGUUAAGUUGCAGGGUAUAGACCCGAAACCCGGUGAUCUAGCCAUGGGCAGGUUGAAGGUUGGGUAACACUAACUGGAGGACCGAACCGACUAAUGUUGAAAAAUUAGCGGAUGACUUGUGGCUGGGGGUGAAAGGCCAAUCAAACCGGGAGAUAGCUGGUUCUCCCCGAAAGCUAUUUAGGUAGCGCCUCGUGAAUUCAUCUUCGGGGGUAGAGCACUGUUUCGGCUAGGGGUCAUCCCGACUUACCAACCCGAUGCAAACUACGAAUACCGAAGAAUGUUAUCACGGGAGACACACGGCGGGUGCUAACGUCCGUCGUGAAGAGGGAAACAACCCAGACCGCCAGCUAAGGUCCCAAAGUCAUGGUUAAGUGGGAAACGAUGUGGGAAGGCACAGACAGCCAGGAUGUUGGCUUAGAAGCAGCCAUCAUUUAAAGAAAGCGUAAUAGCUCACUGGUCGAGUCGGCCUGCGCGGAAGAUGUAACGGGGCUAAACCAUGCACCGAAGCUGCGGCAGCGACACUAUGUGUUGUUGGGUAGGGGAGCGUUCUGUAAGCCUGCGAAGGUGACCUGUGAGGGUUGCUGGAGGUAUCAGAAGUGCGAAUGCUGACAUAAGUAACGAUAAAGCGGGUGAAAAGCCCGCUCGCCGGAAGACCAAGGGUUCCUGUCCAACGUUAAUCGGGGCAGGGUGAGUCGACCCCUAAGGCGAGGCCGAAAGGCGUAGUCGAUGGGAAACAGGUUAAUAUUCCUGUACUUGGUGUUACUGCGAAGGGGGGACGGAGAAGGCUAUGUUAGCCGGGCGACGGUUGUCCCGGUUUAAGCAUGUAGGCUGGUUAUCCAGGCAAAUCCGGAUAAUCAAGGCUGAGGUGUGAUGACGAGGCACUACGGUGCUGAAGUAACAAAUGCCCUGCUUCCAGGAAAAGCCUCUAAGCAUCAGGUAACAUUAAAUCGUACCCCAAACCGACACAGGUGGUCAGGUAGAGAAUACCAAGGCGCUUGAGAGAACUCGGGUGAAGGAACUAGGCAAAAUGGUGCCGUAACUUCGGGAGAAGGCACGCUGGUGUGUAGGUGAAGUCCCUGCGGAUGGAGCUGAGACCAGUCGAAGAUACCAGCUGGCUGCAACUGUUUAUUAAAAACACAGCACUGUGCAAACACGAAAGUGGACGUAUACGGUGUGACGCCUGCCCGGUGCCGGAAGGUUAAUUGAUGGGGUUAUCCGUAAGGAGAAGCUCUUGAUCGAAGCCCCGGUAAACGGCGGCCGUAACUAUAACGGUCCUAAGGUAGCGAAAUUCCUUGUCGGGUAAGUUCCGACCUGCACGAAUGGCGUAAUGAUGGCCAGGCUGUCUCCACCCGAGACUCAGUGAAAUUGAACUCGCUGUGAAGAUGCAGUGUACCCGCGGCAAGACGGAAAGACCCCGUGAACCUUUACUAUAGCUUGACACUGAACAUUGAGCCUUGAUGUGUAGGAUAGGUGGGAGGCUUUGAAGCGUGGACGCCAGUCUGCGUGGAGCCGACCUUGAAAUACCACCCUUUAAUGUUUGAUGUUCUAACGUUGGCCCCUUACCGGGGUUGCGGACAGUGUCUGGUGGGUAGUUUGACUGGGGCGGUCUCCUCCCAAAGCGUAACGGAGGAGCACGAAGGUUAGCUAAUCCUGGUCGGACAUCAGGAGGUUAGUGCAAUGGCAUAAGCUAGCUUGACUGCGAGCGUGACGGCGCGAGCAGGUGCGAAAGCAGGUCAUAGUGAUCCGGUGGUUCUGAAUGGAAGGGCCAUCGCUCAACGGAUAAAAGGUACUCCGGGGAUAACAGGCUGAUACCGCCCAAGAGUUCAUAUCGACGGCGGUGUUUGGCACCUCGAUGUCGGCUCAUCACAUCCUGGGGCUGAAGUAGGUCCCAAGGGUAUGGCUGUUCGCCAUUUAAAGUGGUACGCGAGCUGGGUUUAGAACGUCGUGAGACAGUUCGGUCCCUAUCUGCCGUGGGCGCUGGAGAAUUGAGGGGGGCUGCUCCUAGUACGAGAGGACCGGAGUGGACGCAUCACUGGUGUUCGGGUUGUCAUGCCAAUGGCACUGCCCGGUAGCUAAAUGCGGAAGAGAUAAGUGCUGAAAGCAUCUAAGCACGAAACUUGCCCCGAGAUGAGUUCUCCCUGAGACUUUAAGUCUCCUGAAGGAACGUUGAAGACGACGACGUUGAUAGGCCGGGUGUGUAAGCGCAGCGAUGCGUUGAGCUAACCGGUACUAAUGAACCGUGAGGCUUAACCUU